RNAcentral lists this ribosomal RNA (494 nucleotides) under uncultured bacterium. Its description in RNAcentral is "partial 16S ribosomal RNA". It matches the Rfam family "Bacterial small subunit ribosomal RNA", at positions 28 to 507 of the family's 1533-position model. The record is from RNAcentral.
GACGAACGCUGGCGGCGUGCUUAACACAUGCAAGUCGAACGGUGAAGCGCCUUCCUUUUUGGUGGGUGUGGAUGAGUGGCGAACGGGUGAGUAACACGUGAGUAACCUGCCCCCUUCUUCUGGAUAACCGCAUGAAAGUGUGGCUAAUACGGGAUAUUCUGGGUCUGUCGCAUGAUGGGUCUGGGAAAGAUAUUGUUUCGGUGGGGGAUGGGCUCGCGGCCUAUCAGCUUGUUGGUGGGGUGAUGGCCUACCAAGGCGGUGACGGGUAGCCGGCCUGAGAGGGUGGACGGUCACACUGGGACUGAGACACGGCCCAGACUCCUACGGGAGGCAGCAGUGGGGAAUAUUGCACAAUGGGCGCAAGCCUGAUGCAGCGACGCCGCGUGAGGGAUGGAGGCCUUCGGAUUGUGAACCUCUUUCGCCAGUGAAGCAGGCCUGCCUCGUUUGUGGGUGGGUUGACGGUAGCUGGAUAAGAAGCGCCGGCUAACUACGUG